RNAcentral lists this long non-coding RNA (342 nucleotides) under Mytilus galloprovincialis (Mediterranean mussel). Lineage: Eukaryota; Metazoa; Mollusca; Bivalvia; Mytilida; Mytilidae. The record is from RNAcentral.
UUUUUUUGGACCAAGGACCUCAAAUCAAAAGAUCCUAGGUCUCUAUCACUUAUGGUGUUCCAGUUUAAAAUACAUUUUAAAAUUUCAAAUACAAAAAGGGAAAUAACUCUCAUAUGGAGCGUUCAUAUUGCUUCGGUCGAAAUUGGACAAAUCAUGCGAAGGAUAUAACGAGCAAUUUUAUAAAAUAAAUUUGUCGUAAUCUUUUACGGUUGCGAAGGAGUUGUGGACACAAGGAAAACAGUGUUUGGGGAGAUAACUCCUACAAAGAAAAGUAUUCGGUUACGCAGGGUAAAUUUCAAAAACGCAUAAACUGUUCGAUAUCAUAUACCAAAUAUCUAAGCG